RNAcentral lists this ribosomal RNA (468 nucleotides) under uncultured bacterium. RNAcentral describes it as "partial 16S ribosomal RNA". It matches the Rfam family "Bacterial small subunit ribosomal RNA", at positions 28 to 507 of the family's 1533-position model. The record is from RNAcentral.
GACGAACGCUGGCGGCGUGCUUAACACAUGCAAGUCGAACGGAAAGGCCCUGCUUUUGUGGGGUGCUCGAGUGGCGAACGGGUGAGUAACACGUGAGUAACCUGCCCUUGACUUUGGGAUAACUUCAGGAAACUGGGGCUAAUACCGGAUAGGAGCUCCUGCUGCAUGGUGGGGGUUGGAAAGUUUCGGCGGUUGGGGAUGGACUCGCGGCUUAUCAGCUUGUUGGUGGGGUAGUGGAUUACCAAGGCUUUGACGGGUAGCCGGCCUGAGAGGGUGACCGGCCACAUUGGGCCUGAGAUACGGCCCAGACUCCUACGGGAGGCAGCAGUGGGGAAUAUUGCACAAUGGGAGGAAGCCUGAUGCAGCAACGCCGCGUGCGGGAUGACGGCCUUCGGGUUGUAAACCGCUUUCGCCUGUGACGAAGCGUGAGUGACGGUAAUGGGUAAAGAAGCACCGGCUAACUACGUG